CUGAGAGUUUGAUUCUGGCUCAGAACGAACGCUGGCGGAAGGCUUAACACAUGCAAGUCGAGCGCCCCGCAAGGGGAGCGGCAGACGGGUGAGUAACGCGUGGGAAUCUACCCAUCUCUACGGAAUAACUCAGGGAAACUUGUGCUAAUACCGUAUACGCCCUUCGGGGUAAAGAUUUAU
RNAcentral lists this ribosomal RNA (180 nucleotides) under Strombidinopsis acuminata. Its description in RNAcentral is "partial Bacterial small subunit ribosomal RNA". It matches the Rfam family "Bacterial small subunit ribosomal RNA", at positions 1 to 212 of the family's 1533-position model. The record is from RNAcentral. Lineage: Eukaryota; Ciliophora; Spirotrichea; Choreotrichida; Strombidinopsidae.